This 474-nucleotide ribosomal RNA is filed under the name uncultured bacterium. Its description in RNAcentral is "partial 16S ribosomal RNA". It matches the Rfam family "Bacterial small subunit ribosomal RNA", at positions 28 to 507 of the family's 1533-position model. The record is from RNAcentral.
GAUGAACGCUAGCGGCAGGCCUAACACAUGCAAGUCGAGGGAUAAGCCUUCGGGCUGAAACCGGCGCACGGGUGCGUAACGCGUAUACAAUCUGCUUUUCACAUAGGGAUAGCCCCGAGAAAUUUGGAUUAAUACCUAAUGGUAUAUAAGCGUGUCCUCAUUUUUAUAUUAAAGCUUUGGUGUUGAAAGCUGAGUCUGCGUUCUAUUAGCUAGUUGGAGAGGUAACGGCUCCCCAAGGCGACGCUAGAUAGGGGUUCUGAGAGGGAUGUCCCCCACACUGGUACUGAGAUACGGACCAGACUCCUACGGGAGGCAGCAGUGAGGAAUAUUGGACGAUGGUCGGAAGACUGAUCCAGCCAUGCCGCGUGCAGGACGACGGUCCUAUGGAUUGUAAACUGCUUUUGUAAGGGAAGAAUAAGGAGUACGUGUACUUUGAUGACGGUACCUUACGAAUAAGCAUCGGCUAACUCCGUG